Non-coding RNA from Coffea arabica (coffee), 2077 nucleotides. The record is from RefSeq and is a predicted model, not a curated record. Lineage: Eukaryota; Viridiplantae; Streptophyta; Magnoliopsida; Gentianales; Rubiaceae.
CCCACACCCCACGAUAAACACAAAAAAGCCACCAAAAAAAUUUUGUUUGUUGUUUUUGAAAGGAGGAUGCUUCAUUUGUAGUUGGUGACAAAGUUGCCUUUCUUUUUUCUGUUGGAAGACUGACAAAGUUGCCUUUACCAAAGAAGGAUGAUAUUGAAGGAGAGAGCAUUUCAUUAUUAGGACAAAACUCUCAUUCCAUCUUCACAAGGUCUUACCACUGUGGAGUCUGGACAUGUCCAUGAGAACCAGAAUCCAACCAGAGAAGCCUCACUUCUUCAAGCCUAUCCUUCCAGGCUUCAUAGAUGGAGUGAAAAUUCCAGCAUCUUUCUUGAAGUAUUUAGGUGGAAAGAUAUCUGAAAAUCAGGCAGUAUUGCGAAGGGGUGGUGUUAAGGAAUGGAGGGUAGAAAUUAGUGACCAGUGGCUGAGAGAAGGCUGGAGAGCAUUUGCUGUGGAGAACAACUUGCAGGUGGGAGAUUUUGCAGUGUUCGAACAUGAAGGAAAUAUGGUGUUCGAGGUUUUGGUUUUUGACCCUAGUCAUUGUGAGAGAGAAUAUGCAUCCAUUGAUGAUGAGACAAAGUGCUCCAAGAAAUUUAAAGCUGCAGCAACUGAAGAGAUUCCAAGAAGCAAGAAAGUUAAGUUGGAACUGUCUGAUGAUCAAGAGGAACCUGAUUCUACUGAUCAAAUUUGCCAUCCCUAUUUUAUCUUUACUGUCAAGCCAAUUAACCUUCUGUAUCACCGAUUGAACAUUCCCAGGGAUUUUGCGAUGGAGAACGGUCUAUUCGGCAGAGAAUGCAAUAUAAAGCUAAGAGAUCAAAGCCAAAGGUCAUGGAGUUUAAAGAUAAAAUCCAGUAGCGACUGCGCUUCCAUUCAAUGUGGAUGGAAAAGUUUCGCAAAAGCACAAGGGCUGAAGGAGGGAGAUGAAUUCGUGUUAGAGCUCACUGAAAAUGGAGAGGCGCCUGUCUUCAAUUUCUAUGGAAAAGACAAGGCAUCAACUCGAAAAUCAGGAAAGGAAGUCUCUUGGCGUGAUGAAGAACCUGUUAAUCCUCACUUUACGUCAACAAUAGAACCUCAUUGCAUCAGACGUUGUAUAUUGUAUCUCCCAAUGAAGUUCGCGAGAUCAAAUGAUUUAAGCAACAGAAGCUGCAAAUUGAUCCUCAAAGAUCCAAAGAAAAGGUCAUGGCAUGCAGAACUCAACUCAAGAGGCAGCCGAGUUUGCAUCUCUUUUGGCUUGGACGAGUUCUUUACUGCAAAUGACCUAAAGGAAGGAGACACUUGCAGUUUUGAGCUUGUGGAAAAUGGAGAAACACCUGUUAUUAACUUUCUUACACUCUUGACAAAAGAUGAUCAGCCUCCACCACAGCCCGCCACUGAUGAUCAUUCUUACUUCAUCUCCACAAUCAAGCCUUAUAACAUCAAAAGUUGUGUACUGCAUCUACCAGUGAAGUUUGCUAAACCGAAUGGUUUAACCAAGCUGAAGGGAGAAAUGAUCGUCAAAGAUGACAGACAAAGGCUGUGGAAAGUAAAAUUGAAGGACAGGGGAGAUAGAGUUGUGCUUUCAAGCGGAUGGAGUAAUAUCUCCAGAGCAAACGGCCUUAAAGUUGGGGACAGGUACAAGUUUGAGAUCAUCAAGAAAGGAAAGAGACCUGUGGUGAAUUUCCAUUUUGUAUACUCUUCACUGAUUGCUAGGAUGCCCAGUUAUAAAUUUUAGAAGAAGAAUGAGAAAUGCUACUGAAUGCUUAACCAACCCUUUGAACUCGCAAGUAAAUUAUCUCAUCCUAAUUUACAGGUAAGUUUCUGAAAUCUGAAGAGGACAGCCCAGCUUUAACACCAAAUUGAUGAUAAUUGACAAUUACACCCAACCUUCCAACUUCCAAGCACAGUAUUGGCACAGCCCAUCAUUUCUGUAACACCGUGCUUUCUUCAUUUCUGAUUUCUGCUUUCAAGAAAUCAUUAAUUAUGUGCUUUUCACUCGGGCUACUGCUGAAUUAUGUAAAAGCAUCAUUUGUACCAUUGGAUGAUUUUCUUUAUCUGGAUAAGUUCACAUUCUGUUUAGGAAAUGAGGUAAAAUAUUUCUCUU